RNAcentral lists this long non-coding RNA (608 nucleotides) under Nicotiana tabacum (common tobacco). Its description in RNAcentral is "long non-coding RNA (NTAB_LNC016624)". Lineage: Eukaryota; Viridiplantae; Streptophyta; Magnoliopsida; Solanales; Solanaceae. The record is from RNAcentral.
CUCACAAAAAAUGCAAAAUAAAACUACAGUAAAUCAUUCAAAUUUAUUCGGAUCCAAACGAUUUCAAUACAUCUACUAAAUGAAUAUGAAGAAAUUUUCUAGUGUUUCUACUUAGAAAAGCGGACAAUUGUAAUAACCUUUGAUAAAAAUAUGGCUUUUUCAAUAAUAACUUUAUGAUGAGGAGCCAAAGUCUUUACCCUUAUCACUCAGAAUUUGCAGCUUCUUCCCCGUGCUUCUACCAAAAUUGCUUCACCUACUAAUUUUAUCAAAAAUACAAAGGGAAUCAGUGUAUAUUACCGUAAACUUGCAGAAAAAAUUAAGAGUGUUUGGACAUCACUUUAAAUAUUACCUUUGUAGCUAAGCAAAAAUUAAGAGUCUUCUCCUUCUCCGGCGACUAGGGAUUGGGUAUUUUCAGAUUUGCUUGAAUUUCUCUAAGGGGGAGCAUUCUUUGAUAUAUUGAGAGAGUAUUUUAGAUGGGUUUCAAGAGAUAGAAAGAGUUCUUCUUCGAUGUGCUCUAGGAAAUAUUUUAUCCGAGUGGGGCUAUAGUCUAGUAGAAGUUAAAAAAUUGUAGGGUUUAGUGAAAUAAGGAGAGAAAAAUAAAAUAAAAA